This 706-nucleotide ribosomal RNA is filed under the name Toensbergia blastidiata. RNAcentral describes it as "SSU rRNA". It matches the Rfam family "Bacterial small subunit ribosomal RNA", at positions 410 to 1217 of the family's 1533-position model. The record is from RNAcentral. Lineage: Eukaryota; Fungi; Ascomycota; Lecanoromycetes; Rhizocarpales; Sporastatiaceae.
AGAUCGACUCUGUCGAAUAAAAUUCUAGGUAGAGUUAUGAUAAUGACAUUUUCUAUCUAUGUGUCUUGACCAAGUCACGUGCCAGCAGUCGCGGUAAUACGUGGAAGACUAGUGUUAUUCAUCUUUAAUAGGUUUAAAGGGUACUUAGACGGUUAAUCAAGCCCAAAAAGGGGACUAAUUUACUAGAGUUUUAUGUGAGGGGGUAUAUAAGUACCAGUGGAGUAGAGAUGAAAUUCUGUCAUACCAAUUAGGGAAACAGGUAAAGGCGAAGGCGACUUUUUAUGUAUAAACUGACGUUAAAGGACGAAGGCUCGGGUUAAUAAACAGGAUUAGAUACCCCAGUAGUCUGAGCAGACAAUGAUGAAUGUCAUAGAAUGGAUUUAAUUUUUCUAUAAAUGAAAGUGUAAGCAUUCCACCUCAAGAGUAAUUUGGCAACAUAGAAACUGAAAUCAUUAGACCGUUUCUGAAACCAGUUGUGAAGUAUGUUGUUUAAUUUGAUGGUCCGCAAAAAACCUUACCACAGUUUGAAUAUUUAUAUUUUUACAAGCGUUGCACGGCUGUCUUUAGUUAAUGUCGUGAGAUUUUGGUUAGUUCCAUUAAAUUAACGUGAACCCUUACUUUAUUUAUUAUAAAGUAGUUCCCCGCUAUAUUGGAUAUGAUAAAAGGGAUUAAGACAAGUCAUCAUGACCUUAAUACUGUGGGCUAA